This is a long non-coding RNA of Aquila chrysaetos chrysaetos, 481 nucleotides long. RefSeq lists it as uncharacterized. The transcript is spliced from 2 exons. The record is from RefSeq and is a predicted model, not a curated record. Lineage: Eukaryota; Metazoa; Chordata; Aves; Accipitriformes; Accipitridae.
CAUAUCUGGGAAGAGGUCACCCCAAGGAAGAAAGCAAGAACUUUAUCAGCAACUGACAAGCAGCAGAGGCGUCUCACUAAGAAGUGCCCUCCAGCAUACAGACUGGUCACUGCAACCAAGAGAAAGCAGCUGAAAGGGACACGAAAGCUGCUGUUGAGCAUCUUUUAGUUUCCCUACAAGCCCACUCCUCUGGCUAUGCUGACUGGCAGGCUGGAGAAGGGCUGAGCACUAGAGCUUUCUCACUUACUCCAGCAUGGACCGGCUCCUUACAGUGCUCUCCACUGCUUCAGCUCAAGAUCAUUGCUUUCCACGUGGGAGGUUUCCUCAACUUUACAUGAUAUUGCAGUGCCACCUUGAGAGUCCACUGCAUGCACAUCAAAUCUACUUACCAUGAUCUCUGGGUUCUAAUCACAAAGGACCUGUGCAGCGGAACUACUCUGCUUGGGGAGGGAAGGAAGGAGGGAGAGGGGAAAAAAAACAA